CUACGGGAGGCUGCAGCGAGGAAUAUUGCACAAUGGGGGGAACCCUGAUGCAGCAACGCCGCGUGGAGGAUGACGCAUUUCGGUGUGUAAACUCCUUUUAUAUGUCAAGAAAAUGACGGUAGCAUAUGAAUAAGCACCGGCUAACUCCGUGCCAGCAGCCGCGGUAAUACGGAGGGUGCGAGCGUUACUCGGAAUCACUGGGCGUAAAGGACACGUAGGCGGGUUGGAAAGUCAGGUGUGAAAUCCUACAGCUUAACUGUAGAACUGCACUUGAAACUUCUAAUCUAGAGUAUGGGAGGGGGAGAUGGAAUUAGAGGUGUAGGGGUAAAAUCCGUAGAUAUCACUAGGAAUACCUAAAGCGAAGGCGAUCUCCUGGAACAUUACUGACGCUAAGGCGUGAAAGCGUGGGGAGCAAACAGGAUUAGAUACCCUAGUAGUC
Molecule: ribosomal RNA, 439 nt
Filed under: uncultured bacterium
Lineage: Bacteria
Description: partial 16S ribosomal RNA
Rfam family: Bacterial small subunit ribosomal RNA
Source: RNAcentral